AGUGAACGCUGGCGGUAGGCCUAACACAUGCAAGUCGAACGGCAGCACAGUAAGAGCUUGCUCUUACGGGUGGCGAGUGGCGGACGGGUGAGGAAUACAUCGGAAUCUACUUUUUCGUGGGGGAUAACGUAGGGAAACUUACGCUAAUACCGCAUACGUCCUACGGGUGAAAGCAGGGGAUCUUCGGACCUUGCGCGAUUGGAUGAGCCGAUGUCGGAUUAGCUAGUUGGCGGGGUAAAGGCCCACCAAGGCGACGAUACGUAGCUGGUCUGAGAGGAUGAGCAGCCACACUGGAACUGAGACACGGUCCAGACUCCUACGGGAGGCAGCAGUGGGGAAUAUUGGACAAUGGGCGCAAGCCUGAUCCAGCCAUACCGCGUGGGUGAAGAAGGCCUUCGGGCUGUAAAGCCCUUUUGUUGGGAAAGAAAAGCAGUAGGUGAAUACCCCGCUGUUCUGACGGUACCCAAAGAAUAAGCACCGGCUAACUUCGUG
Molecule: ribosomal RNA, 492 nt
Filed under: uncultured bacterium
Lineage: Bacteria
Description: partial 16S ribosomal RNA
Rfam family: Bacterial small subunit ribosomal RNA
Source: RNAcentral